RNAcentral lists this ribosomal RNA (474 nucleotides) under uncultured bacterium. Its description in RNAcentral is "SSU rRNA". It matches the Rfam family "Bacterial small subunit ribosomal RNA", at positions 26 to 518 of the family's 1533-position model. The record is from RNAcentral.
AGGACGAACGCUGGCGGCGUGCUUAACACAUGCAAGUCGAGCGGAAAGGCCCUUCGGGGUACUCGAGCGGCGAACGGGUGAGUAACACGUGAGCAACCUGCCCCUGGCUCUGGGAUAGCCUCCGGAAACGGGGAUUAAUACCGGAUAUUCACUGUCUCCUGCAUGGGGGGUGGUGGAAAGUUUUUCGGCUAGGGAUGGACUCGCGGCCUAUCAGCUAGUUGGUGAGGUAACGGCCCACCAAGGCGACGACGGGUAGCCGGCCUGAGAGGGCGACCGGCCACACUGGGACUGAGACACGGCCCAGACUCCUACGGGAGGCAGCAGUGGGGAAUAUUGCGCAAUGGGCGAAAGCCUGACGCAGCGACGCCGCGUGGGGGAUGAAGGCCUUCGGGUUGUAAACCCUUUCAGCAGGGACGAAGCGAAAGUGACGGUACCUGCAGAAGAAGCGCCGGCUAACUACGUGCCAGCAGCCGC